GAUGAACGCUAGCUACAGGCUUAACACAUGCAAGUCGAGGGGCAGCAUGGUCUUAGCUUGCUAAGGCCGAUGGCGACCGGCGCACGGGUGAGUAACACGUAUCCAACCUGCCGUCUACUCUUGGACAGCCUUCUGAAAGGAAGAUUAAUACAAGAUGGCAUCAUGAGUCCGCAUGUUCACAUGAUUAAAGGUAUUCCGGUAGACGAUGGGGAUGCGUUCCAUUAGAUAGUAGGCGGGGUAACGGCCCACCUAGUCUUCGAUGGAUAGGGGUUCUGAGAGGAAGGUCCCCCACAUUGGAACUGAGACACGGUCCAAACUCCUACGGGAGGCAGCAGUGAGGAAUAUUGGUCAAUGGGCGCAGGCCUGAACCAGCCAAGUAGCGUGAAGGAUGACUGCCCUAUGGGUUGUAAACUUCUUUUAUAAAGGAAUAAAGUCGGGUAUGUAUACCCGUUUGCAUGUACUUUAUGAAUAAGGAUCGGCUAACUCCGU
RNAcentral lists this ribosomal RNA (489 nucleotides) under uncultured bacterium. RNAcentral's name for it is "partial 16S ribosomal RNA". It matches the Rfam family "Bacterial small subunit ribosomal RNA", at positions 28 to 506 of the family's 1533-position model. The record is from RNAcentral.